RNAcentral lists this ribosomal RNA (263 nucleotides) under uncultured bacterium. RNAcentral's name for it is "partial 16S ribosomal RNA". It matches the Rfam family "Bacterial small subunit ribosomal RNA", at positions 31 to 305 of the family's 1533-position model. The record is from RNAcentral.
GAACGCUGGCGGCAGGCCUAACACAUGCAAGUCGAGCGCACCCUUCGGGUGGAGCGGCGGACGGGUGAGUAACGCGUGAGUAACCUGCCCCAUACACAGGGAUAGCCAUUGGAAACGAUGAUUAAUACCUGAUAACACAUAUCUACUGCAUGGUAGAAAUGUCAAAGAUUUAUCGGUAUGGGAUGGACUCGCGUCUGAUUAGCUAGUUGGUAAGGUAAUGGCUUACCAAGGCGACGAUCAGUAGCCGACCUGAGAGGGUGAUC